This 67-nucleotide small nucleolar RNA is filed under the name Euglena gracilis. Its description in RNAcentral is "Eg-m111 box C/D methylation-guide". The record is from RNAcentral. Lineage: Eukaryota; Euglenozoa; Euglenophyceae; Euglenales; Euglenaceae.
GCAGGGAUGACCCCUUUGAGGCAUUUGGCCUGACCGUUCCGCAUGAUUUCACCCGAAGCGGCUGAGC